This is a small nuclear RNA of Otolemur garnettii (small-eared galago), 119 nucleotides long. The record is from Ensembl. NCBI's taxonomy places the organism in Eukaryota, Metazoa, Chordata, Mammalia, Primates, Galagidae.
GUGUUGUAUAACACCUUGACAAGAAUGGAAGAGGGGAGUACUAACCACUCUGCAUGCUGAUGACACUCAUACAGUCAAGGCAUUGCUACCUACUUUGUGGCAUCUAGCCAUUGUUUAUA